Molecule: non-coding RNA, 380 nt
Organism: Pelobates cultripes (western spadefoot toad)
Lineage: Eukaryota; Metazoa; Chordata; Amphibia; Anura; Pelobatidae
Source: the annotation of a GenBank genome assembly
CACCGGUCGGUUAUGAGGUUGGUAUCUGGCUGCUGGUGGGUGUGAUGGCACCCUUGGUCAUGGAGGCUGCACCCGCGGUGCGACCUGAUUAGUCUUGCGAGUAAUUGCAUACUCAUCCGCCAACUUGGCGGCCUCUGGUAGAGACAGGGGCCUGCGAUCUCUCACCCAAUCUUUGACAUCCGCCUGGAUAUGGUUGUAAAACUGUUCCAGGAGUAUCAGUUGCAAAAUAUCCUCCGUGGUGGUGGCCUGGCUACUGUUAACCCAGUUAGAGGCUGACAGGGAUAACUGGCAUGCCCAUUCCACGUAAGAGUCUUUAACGGUUUUGCAUGAGUCCCUGAACUUCCCUGAACUUCUGACCGCAUUCAUGAGUUUUAAGAUGG